This is a long non-coding RNA of Harpia harpyja (harpy eagle), 2432 nucleotides long. RefSeq lists it as uncharacterized. The transcript has 3 exons. The record is from RefSeq and is a predicted model, not a curated record. Lineage: Eukaryota; Metazoa; Chordata; Aves; Accipitriformes; Accipitridae.
UGCCGGCGGCUGGGCUGGUUUUUAAGGGGAAGGCGGUUUGCCUGCCCUGCUCGCCCCGGAGCCUUCGGCGGGCCGAGACCUUCCCCGCAACCCGCCGAGGACGGCGGAGGCCGGACGGGGUUGUGGCGAAUCUGCGGGACGCAGGGGGCAAAGGCGAUCCGGGCGCUGCGUGCGGGGCGCAGCCCCGCCAUUACCGGGAAGGAGGCGCCGCCUCGCCCGGCGUGUGUGUGGGGGGGUGUUAUUGGUGCUCCCGAGGCAUCGUGCUGGCCGGGCUGUCUCCGCCCUAGACUCGCAGUCUCCAGCACCGGGCUCGUCCCCUACACCCCGCGACAGCAAGGGGAAGGUGCGGCCGGGAAACUGCCCGCCUUCACGUUCCUGUCAGCACUUUCCACAGGGACGCUAACCCGCUUCCCGCCUUUCUGCCGAGCCGGCUCCCCGCUGGGCAGCCCCGGUCGGUGUUAGCAUACCCGCAGGGGCCCGGCCGGGAGGAGAGGCAGCGCUGUCUCCCGGUGGCGAAUCUGCGGCGGAGAACAAGCAGGCGGGGGGGAGGGGGGAGGCCGUUGGCGCCUCGCGCCCGCUGCCGUUUGGCGCCUUUUUCCUCUCAGAGGGAGCGCGCGGCGGCGCCCUGAGGCGCUCUGGUCCCCGGGCUGCUCGGGAGGCAUCUAGAAAAACGCUGCAGUGUAGUGCCCGGGCCCGAAUAAAUCCCCAAAAGGCAGGCGAUAAAGUCAGGUGAACAGUCCUGGCAGUGCUGGGGAGCCCUUUGGCUGCGUAGCGUGCGCAGUGCCGAAACGAUGGUUUGGGAAUGGCACGUCUUCGAAAAGAGGUUGAGCGGGAGCAGGAUGUGGCCCUCAGUGUGGUUGUGCUUGCCGUGCUGUGAGGAAGGUGGGAAGAUGCCGGUGUGUCGAUGCAAGGGCGUGCACAGAAGAAGGCCAGAGGAAGCAGGUCAGCCUGCAGAGUGGUGUGAAGGAAGGCUGGUCGUAUGGGCUGCAGGGAGGACCCUAGGUUACAAAUCUGUGUAGGUUAUAAUUUUGAACCAAAUCAGACUGACGAACUCAAACACUUAGCUGCUGAAUCACAGAGGACUAUGAAUUAGAGAGUAGACUGGGACCAGUGGAAUUAUCCAGAAAAAUUUCUUGCAGAAAAUUGUGAAGGUAUCACACACGGAGGUAAAAAGCUGGCAAAUAUAAGCCACGAUACACCAUGUGGCUCUGAGUGUCUGAGAAAGAUGAAGAAUUUCAGACCUCAGCAUUCAGCGUAGGAGUCUUUUAUAUAGUGAAAAUUGUUAAAAGUGACUGAAUUCAGUAUGAAAACUUAAAGUUUGGCAUUGAAAUGCUGUCAUAUGGCUAAUAAGAUAAAUUUCUAGACAUCCAUAAAGGAGGAUUUUGGUGGAUCUGGUGAAUGUGGCAGCUGAAGGAAAGCCAAACAGAUGAUACCUACCUAACCCAAAAGAACGGUAGAAGGUGAAAAGAAGAAAAACUGAGUAUGAUACUGGGUUGUUGCAAGUUAGGCCCAUUUCUUCUUGAUGCCUACACUUUGUCUAGCCCAGUUUGCUUUCGUUCUUAAAUAAGAAUAUGAACAAGUAAAGAGACAAGAACUCUGCCCUCAUCUGCUUACAGUGUGCUAUCUGUGGCCACAAUAGAAAUUUGUUGACAUGCAGCAGAAUGAUAUGUGACUUCAAUUUCAUAAUUAAAAGAAAGUAAGAACUGAAAAGAUUCCUCAGUCAGCCAGCCAAAUACACCUUUUUAGUCUACCAGUUUCACCUGGGCAGAGUAUUUUUAAAGAAAAGGUGUAAAGGGAACAUCUGGCUACAAGAUCCCUGAAGGCUAAAGCUGCUGCCCUUUGGCUCAACAAGGAUUUUUGCCUGCUCAAGAGACCUUUUUCCUUUCAGAAAUUACUCACUUGGUUUUGAAGUCAUCAGCAGCCAGCCUGGCAUUGUCAAUCUGCAAGACGAUCUUCGAGUUGUCGAUAGUGGCAUCAAGGAUCUACAAACAAUGAGAGUUCAUUGCUGAGGCUGAAACAACUAUGUUAUCUUCUUUCCCGAUCUGAAGAUAAAAGAGUUAAGAUUCUAUUUCAUCUGUACCUACACCACAUAGAAGUGUAUUUUAUUUGGUCUCAGUAGGAAAGUAUCAAUGAUCUAUAGCAAAUAUGUAGCACAGAUUUAUAACAGUACUUUUGCCAUCAUUGUCCAUUACGGAUAGGUCCUCUUACUCUUGUCUGGCAUAUGAAGUGGCUUUUAGCUAGAAGUCCCACAGUGAGACAAAACUGCAUGCUGUCUUAGAGGGAGAGGACUUUGGUGAGCCAGGGGGUAGGUGAUGUUUUAGGACGGAGGCGACAAACUUAUUUCCUGGAGAGAUGCAAAGGAAGCAAAGUCUGCAGACCCCUCUUGGCAGAAUUUGUUCUCAUUACACAUUUCCUUAACAGUAGGAAGUGAU